RNAcentral lists this small RNA (105 nucleotides) under Flavobacterium xueshanense. RNAcentral describes it as "Flavo-1 RNA". It matches the Rfam family "Flavo-1 RNA". Lineage: Bacteria; Pseudomonadati; Bacteroidota; Flavobacteriia; Flavobacteriales; Flavobacteriaceae. The record is from RNAcentral.
CAUUAGCCCAGAUAGUAAUGGAAAUCCUUUCUAGUCCUGAACUUGUUUCAGGAUCCUGAAACAAGUUCAGGACUAGAAAGAUUGUAAUGGAUAGCUGGAAAUAGC